RNAcentral lists this unclassified non-coding RNA (507 nucleotides) under Hevea brasiliensis (rubber tree). The record is from RNAcentral. Lineage: Eukaryota; Viridiplantae; Streptophyta; Magnoliopsida; Malpighiales; Euphorbiaceae.
AUAUGGGGAUGGUAGGCAUGUCAGGUAAGCUUAGAAUUUUCACUAUCAUUUUGUAAAACCUUUUUUUUUUAGUGUAGCAGAAAGUCAAUAAUCUGUCUAGACUUAAUUUAUUGCCACAUUUAUUCAAAUGAUGACUUGAUCAUUUUCCUACUGAAUAACCUUGUUGAGGACAUUCAUCUGUUUAAUUUAUGCACACGGCAGUGGAGUUUCAUUUGAUACUAUCUUAUAUACAUUUUAUGCUGAUUGCUUUUGCCUAUGGGAUGCACAAUGUUAUUAGUGUUUCAGUGCUGUGCAUUGCCAAUAACAAUUUGGGGGCUGAGAUUCUGGCAUGGCUUCUUAUUUUACUGGGCUAAUGCAUUCAGAUGCUCCCACAUUUGACUUAUGUGCAUUAAUUCAUAAAAUUCAGUUCACAAUGCUGUCAUUGAUGAAUUUGGCUACUCUUAAGUUCUAUGAGGAUCUAGAACUCACACCGUCAAUAAUUGUGUUGUCUGUGUAGAUACAGAGGGU